GACGAACGCUGGCGGCGUGCUUAACACAUGCAAGUCGUACGGUAAGGCCCUUUCGGGGGUACACGAGUGGCGAACGGGUGAGUAACACGUGAGUAACCUGCCCACAACUUUGGGAUAACGCUAGGAAACUGGUGCUAAUACUGGAUAUGUGCUCCUGCUGCAUGGUGGGGGUUGGAAAGCUCCCGGGGUUGUGGGUGGACUCGUGGCCUAUCGGCUUGUUGGUGGGGUAGUGGCCUACCAGGGCGGCAGCGGGUAGCCGCCCUGUGAGGGUGACCGGCCACACUGGGACUGAGGGACGGCACAGACUCCGACGGGCGGCAGCAGGGGGGAAUAGUGCACAAUGGGCGCCAGCCUGAUGCAGCAAAGCCGCGUGCGGGAUGACGGCCUUCGGGUUGUAAACCGCUAUCAGCAGAGACGAAGCUUUUUGUGACGGUACCUGCAGAAGAAGCACCGGCUAACUACAUG
Molecule: ribosomal RNA, 465 nt
Filed under: uncultured bacterium
Lineage: Bacteria
Description: partial 16S ribosomal RNA
Rfam family: Bacterial small subunit ribosomal RNA
Source: RNAcentral